This 734-nucleotide long non-coding RNA is filed under the name Equus caballus (horse). RNAcentral's name for it is "lncRNA (ENSECAG00000057077.1)". The record is from RNAcentral. Lineage: Eukaryota; Metazoa; Chordata; Mammalia; Perissodactyla; Equidae.
AGGUCCAGAUGGCCGGUGACUUUAGUGAAAUCCUCUCCAGUCAAAAACACCAGUGAGUGGUUAUACAAUGAGUUGACGACAAAGUUGGGAAAGCAUUGAAGAAAUUUGUAGAGAAGGAAGCAAAGGUGAGAGAGAAAGAUGAUUGCAAUGGAAAGGAAGGUGUCUGGCAAAGGAGGGACCAAUUCUUCAUAUUAUUUGUCUUUCAGGCUCCCAAACCAGUUUGCAUAUUGAGCUUCCCAGAACUAUUUUCAACCACCUGGAGCAGCUGAGCAUGAAGAACACCAUUCUCGAUGUCUUUAGCUACAAAUUGCUAACCGCCCCAAACCACCAACAUCCCAAGAAGUCAGUAAGGACAAGAAUAUCCUGUUGUGAGGACUGGUGGAACUGGACUUUGCUGGGGACCAACUCGCUAACCCAUCAAUGAAGUACGAGUCUAGUCUUUUGCCUGAUGACUGAAUCUCAAGCCCGUCUAUGAAGGGCAAACCCAGCCUCACCUCAUCCAGCACCAAUGAACUCUUCCUUAAUACAACUCACCUCCUCCUCCCCCUUUCCCAUAAAAACCAUAAGCCCCUCUCCUGUAAUCGGGACACUAUUUGAGCUUCUAGCUGAAUCUGUGUCUCUUGAAUUGCAAUUCUAAUUCCUCACAGAAAUUUCUGUUGUUUGAAUUGUAGUGGAUUUUUCCUCUGUCGACACUUUCUGGCUGUGUGACAUGGGCAACUCAAUUAACCUCUCUG